Molecule: long non-coding RNA, 4441 nt
Organism: Saccostrea cuccullata (small rock oyster)
Lineage: Eukaryota; Metazoa; Mollusca; Bivalvia; Ostreida; Ostreidae
Exons: 4
Source: RefSeq, a predicted model, not a curated record
AGGUAUCACACCGGUAAUUGACCAAUCAAAAUGAACUUAGUCAAAUGUAGGUCCAUAUAUAUAGAAUUAAUUUUCUUUUCUUUUGAGGCGUUUUUCUAUUUUCUUCCAUGCCACUUUUACAACUUUGGUACCUGUGCCUAGUAAAUUUUAUGUACUUUGUGAAUAAAUAAAGGUUUUGGACAGGAACUAUUUUUUCAUGGCAUAGGAGGCUACUUCCUGUAGUGCACUCGAGGUGUUUAUAAACACAGUGAAAACACGUGGAUUUGAGGGUAGCCCUGUUUGCAGAUGGAAAAAGUCCGAAAAUGCCGUGUGGGUACCCUGUUUUUUGGUGUCAGCUAAUGUGACAGGAGGCUACUUCCUGUAGUGCACUCGAGGUGUUUAUAAACACAGUGAAAACACGUGGAUUUGAGGGUAGCCCUGUUUGCAGAUGGAAAAAGUCCGAAAAUGCCGUGUGGGUACCCUGUUUUUUGGUGUCAGCUAAUGUGACAGGUAAUGUUUAACACCUUCUGCUAAAUAUUUUUUCAUGUAAACAAAUACCUGAUUUUUAACGAUUUUUUAUUCUAUAUAGAAUUAUAUAGUGAAAACAAUUACCGGUGUGAUACCUUGAAGGUGAUUGUGAAAAAUCAUUUUAAUCCUUAUUAAAGACAUUUUUCAUUUUUAAAAGGCAUAUUUCAACAAAAUAUGUGAUUUUAUUAACUUUUUGUUUGAAAACACACAAUUUUAAAAUUAGAAUUAGAAUUUACAUUAUUUUUCACAGAUUUCUGUUUAAAAAUUAACAAUAGGUUAUAUUUUACACUCAAUACUUUCAAAUAUGACUGAAAAGGUAGCAUUAUGCAUCUAAAAUGUGGAAAGAAGUCAGAGAAUAUUGUUUUUUCAUUUUAUAUGACUUAACAUUAUUUGCACCAGCUGACCGCAGUCAAUUAUAGUGUCUACAGACUUUGCGGUAAAGGGUGUUAAAGCUGAUUUUUCAAGAAUAGACUAAUUCUAGGUUUGCGAAUGAAUUUUUAGCAUAAGCGACAACUGCGAUAAAAUGUAAACAAGUAAAAAUGUUUUCACAGAAUGAUAAUUUCUACAGAAACAUGAUUUAUUUUAAUUUAUUCAGACCUCCAGUGAUACAUACAUUACUGCAUUGGAAGAACAGAAAUAAUGAAAUGAGUCAGAUCUGUCUAAUAAACUUAAUACAUAAGCUACAUUAGUAAAAUUCAUUAAGAAUUUAUCAAAGUAAGGAAGGUUAUGACCAAAAAAUCCUGAAAUACUGUCAAGGUCUGCAUGAUAAUACUUAUUCUGAGUUCUAACCAUGCAUCAUACAUGUAGUGCAGAAUGUCACUUAGCAGCAUGGCAUGCCUUUUGUGGUUCUAAGGACUUUAUUUAUGCUUUCGCAGCUGACAUUCAUGUUUUUUCAGUUUGUCGGAGACUGUUUUUUGUUAUUUUUUCAUUUAUAUGUAGGUGUUGACUGUCACUUUUGAAUUAAGUCUCAGUCAGUGAUGCUUAUAUGAGCAUGAUCUACUAAGUAUAUCAUUGUACUGAAAUAUUAAUAAAUUCCAAAUUUAACUGAUGAAGAAAUUUGGCAUAUUUACAUAAUUGAAAUAUCAGAAUAACUAUAAUUCAGCUAAUAAGGUGCACAUUUCUUCUCAGAUCACUUCCUAUAAAUUUUAUCAACAGUUUUGGUACACCCACCCACCUCAAAGAAUCAUGGAGGAUGUCCUGAAUCUGGUCUCUGUGAUGCAUUUUGUCUCAUAGAAAAGUGUUCAAACUCAUUAAAAUGUUUAAUAUUUAUAUUUUAAAAUCUAAAUGUUCAUUUUUUUAUGUAAAUUUGUUGAAACAAAAAGAUAUAAUCUUGCAUAAAUCAUGGAAAUUCAUUAAACACCUUUGGAAUUCCUGAAUAAAUCCAUGAAAAGAGAAUAAUUAUGCAUGUUAAAUUGAAAUUUCAUGGCUAAUUUGUGUCUUAAGAGAAAGCCAGUUGCAUAAAUCACAACAAUAAAUUACAUCUGAAUUGUUGUCUCCAGGUUCUUAUCAUCAAAGCCAGUUUAAUGGAGUGUGGGAGCUGUGAAGAACCUCCCUAGAUGCUGAUAUCAUUUUGACUGCCCUGAGUUACAACACAGCAUUUAGAUAAACUUCUGCACAGCAGCUUGUAGACACAUACCUAGGCUUUAUUUGGAACAUAAAUUGACCAGAUACAGUGUUCAUUAUCAACCCAGUAUUUAACAAUUUCUGUAUUUUUGUUCAUUCUUUGAAGGGGAAAAUGCAACUUUGUUAUGUAAUAAUUACAUAAUGGUCUUAGACUUGUAAACUCUUUUCUGUUUGUGGUGAAGAACAAAGCAUAUACUCUCCACGGAUAAAAAAUUGGUUGCCAAGCUUAUUCUUUUAAUGGUGAAAUUCUGCUUCAAAAGAUGCACAAAAAACUGCUUCCAGAGUGCUGUGUGUGUUGUUCUUGACUGCUCUGGAGUAAGGGAGAUAAAUGCUUCAUAUCUUCAGAAAUAAGGGGAUUUAGAUCACCAGACUUAGGGAUGUUGGGGACAAUUAUUUCAUGAAUCUCAGGUGCAAAAAUGGAAAAAAUCGAACACCUUCAAAGGUCCUUCAAGGUGAUUGUGAAAAAUCAUUUUAAUCCUUAUUAAAGACAUUUUUCAUUUUUAAAAGGCAUAUUUCAACAAAAUAUGUGAUUUUAUUAACUUUUUGUUUGAAAACACACAAUUUUAAAAUUAGAAUUAGAAUUUACAUUAUUUUUCACAGAUUUCUGUUUAAAAAUUAACAAUAGGUUAUAUUUUACACUCAAUACUUUCAAAUAUGACUGAAAAGGUAGCAUUAUGCAUCUAAAAUGUGGAAAGAAGUCAGAGAAUAUUGUUUUUUCAUUUUAUAUGACUUAACAUUAUUUGCACCAGCUGACCGCAGUCAAUUAUAGUGUCUACAGACUUUGCGGUAAAGGGUGUUAAAGCUGAUUUUUCAAGAAUAGACUAAUUCUAGGUUUGCAAAUGAAUUUUUAGCAUAAGCGACAACUGCGAUAAAAUGUAAACAAGUAAAAAUGUUUUCACAGAAUGAUAAUUUCUACAGAAACAUGAUUUAUUUUAAUUUAUUCAGACCUCCAGUGAUACAUACAUUACUGCAUUGGAAGAACAGAAAUAAUGAAAUGAGUCAGAUCUGUCUAAUAAACUUAAUACAUAAGCUACAUUAGUAAAAUUCAUUAAGAAUUUAUCAAAGUAAGGAAGGUUAUGACCAAAAAAUCCUGAAAUACUGUCAAGGUCUGCAUGAUAAUACUUAUUCUGAGUUCUAACCAUGCAUCAUACAUGUAGUGCAGAAUGUCACUUAGCAGCAUGGCAUGCCUUUUGUGGUUCUAAGGACUUUAUUUAUGCUUUCGCAGCUGACAUUCAUGUUUUUUCAGUUUGUCGGAGACUGUUUUUUGUUAUUUUUUCAUUUAUAUGUAGGUGUUGACUGUCACUUUUGAAUUAAGUCUCAGUCAGUGAUGCUUAUAUGAGCAUGAUCUACUAAGUAUAUCAUUGUACUGAAAUAUUAAUAAAUUCCAAAUUUAACUGAUGAAGAAAUUUGGCAUAUUUACAUAAUUGAAAUAUCAGAAUAACUAUAAUUCAGCUAAUAAGGUGCACAUUUCUUCUCAGAUCACUUCCUAUAAAUUUUAUCAACAGUUUUGGUACACCCACCCACCUCAAAGAAUCAUGGAGGAUGUCCUGAAUCUGGUUCUUAUCAUCAAAGCCAGUUUAAUGGAGUGUGGGAGCUGUGAAGAACCUCCCUAGAUGCUGAUAUCAUUUUGACUGCCCUGAGUUACAACACAGCAUUUAGAUAAACUUCUGCACAGCAGCUUGUAGACACAUACCUAGACUUUAUUUGGAACAUAAAUUGACCAGAUACAGUGUUCAUUAUCAACCCAGUAUUUAACAAUUUCUGUAUUUUUGUUCAUUCUUUGAAGGGGAAAAUGCAACUUUGUUAUGUAAUAAUCACAUAAUGGUCUUAGACUUGUAAACUCUUUUCUGUUUGUGGUGAAGAACAAAGCAUAUACUCUCCACGGAUAAAAAAAUUGGUUGCCAAGCUUAUUCUUUUAAUGGUGAAAUUCUGCUUCAAAAGAUGCACAAAAAACUGCUUCCAGAGUGCUGUGUGUGUUGUUCUUGACUGCUCUGGAGUAAGGGAGAUAAAUGCUUCAUAUCUUCAGAAAUAAGGGGAUUUAGAUCACCAGACUUAGGGAUGUUGGGGACAAUUAUUUCAUGAAUCUCAGGUGCAAAAAUGGAAAAAAUCGAACACCUUCAAAGGUCCUUCAAGGUAUCACACCGGUAAUUGACCAAUCAAAAUGAACUUAGUCAAAUGUAGGUCCAUAUAUAUAGAAUUAAUUUUCUUUUCUUUUGAGGCGUUUUUCUAUUUUCUUCCAUGCCACUUUUACAACUUUGGUACCUGUGCCUAGUAAAUUUUAUGUACUUUGUGAAUAAAUAAAGGUUUUGGA